AUUUAUAUAUUAUAAAAAUUAUAAUUGAUUUCCAAUCAAAAAAUCUAGCAAUAAAUCUAGUAUAAAUA
This 68-nucleotide transfer RNA is filed under the name Curculionoidea sp. 13 KM-2017. RNAcentral describes it as "tRNA-Gly". Lineage: Eukaryota; Metazoa; Arthropoda; Insecta; Coleoptera. The record is from RNAcentral.